This 478-nucleotide ribosomal RNA is filed under the name uncultured bacterium. RNAcentral describes it as "partial 16S ribosomal RNA". It matches the Rfam family "Bacterial small subunit ribosomal RNA", at positions 28 to 523 of the family's 1533-position model. The record is from RNAcentral.
GACGAACGCUGGCGGCGUGCUUAACACAUGCGAGUCGAACGGUAAGGCCCUUCGGGGUACACGAGUGGCGAACGGGUGAGUAACACGUGGGUGAUCUGCCCUGCACUUCGGGAUAAGCCUGGGAAACUGGGUCUAAUACCGGAUAGGACUCCUGGCUUCAUGGUUGGGGGUGGAAAGCUUUUGCGGUGUGGGAUGGGCCCGCGGCCUAUCAGCUUGUUGGUGGGGUAAUGGCCUAACAAGGCGACGACGGGUAGCCGGCCUGAGAGGGUGACCGGUCACACUGGGACUGGGAUACGGCCCAGACUCCUACGGGAGGCAGAAGUGGGGAAUAUUGCACAAUGGGCGCAAGCCUGAUGCAGCGACGCCGCGUGAGGGAUGACGGCCUUCGGGUUGUAAACCUCUUUCAGCUAUGACGAAGCGCAAGUGACGGUAGUAGCAGAAGAAGGACCGGCCAACUACGUGCCAGCCGCCGCCGUAA